Molecule: ribosomal RNA, 609 nt
Filed under: uncultured Lachnospiraceae bacterium
Lineage: Bacteria; Bacillati; Bacillota; Clostridia; Lachnospirales; Lachnospiraceae
Description: bacterial SSU rRNA
Rfam family: Bacterial small subunit ribosomal RNA
Source: RNAcentral
AGUGGCGGACGGGUGAGUAACGCGUGGGUAACCUGCCUUAUACUGGGGGAUAACAGCCAGAAAUGACUGCUAAUACCGCAUAAGCGCACGGUAUCGCAUGAUGCAGUGUGAAAAACUCCGGUGGUAUAAGAUGGACCCGCGUUGGAUUAGCUAGUUGGUGAGGUAACGGCCCACCAAGGCGACGAUCCAUAGCCGACCUGAGAGGGUGACCGGCCACAUUGGGACUGAGACACGGCCCAAACUCCUACGGGAGGCAGCAGUGGGGAAUAUUGCACAAUGGGCGAAAGCCUGAUGCAGCGACGCCGCGUGAGCGAAGAAGUAUUUCGGUAUGUAAAGCUCUAUCAGCAGGGAAGAUAAUGACGGUACCUGACUAAGAAGCACCGGCUAAAUACGUGCCAGCAGCCGCGGUAAUACGUAUGGUGCAAGCGUUAUCCGGAUUUACUGGGUGUAAAGGGAGCGCAGGCGGUGCGGCAAGUCUGAUGUGAAAGCCCGGGGCUCAACCCCGGUACUGCAUUGGAAACUGUCGUACUAGAGUGUCGGAGGGGUAAGCGGAAUUCCUAGUGUAGCGGUGAAAUGCGUAGAUAUUAGGAGGAACACCAGUGGCGAAGG